UGAGGAAUAUUGGGCAAUGCCCGCAAGGGUGACCCAGCAACGCCGCGUGGAGGAUGAAUGUCGUAAGAUUGUAAACUCCUGUUAGAGGGGAAGAACAGUACCGGUUGGACCGGUAUAUGACUGUACCCUCAGAGAAAGCCCCGGCUACCUACGUGCCAGCAGCCGCGGUAAUACGUAGGGGGCAAGCGUUGUCCGGAUUUACUGGGUGUAAAGGGCGCGCAGGCGGGAUAAAAAGUCAGUGGUGAAAUCCUACAGCUUAACUGUAGAACUGCCUUUGAUACUUUUAUUCUUGAGUUCGGGAGAGAGAGACGGAAUUCCAGGUGUAGUGGUGAAAUACGUAGAUAUCUGGAAGAACACCAGUUGCGAAGGCGGUCUCUUGGUCCGACACUGACGCUGAGGCGCGAAAGCGUGGGGAGCAAACA
This 422-nucleotide ribosomal RNA is filed under the name uncultured bacterium. Its description in RNAcentral is "bacterial SSU rRNA". It matches the Rfam family "Bacterial small subunit ribosomal RNA", at positions 355 to 774 of the family's 1533-position model. The record is from RNAcentral.